RNAcentral lists this unclassified non-coding RNA (391 nucleotides) under soil metagenome. RNAcentral describes it as "partial contains 5.8S ribosomal RNA, internal transcribed spacer 2, and large subunit ribosomal RNA". The stretch from base 1 to 122 matches the Rfam family "5.8S ribosomal RNA", at positions 35 to 154 of the family's 154-position model. The record is from RNAcentral.
GACGAAGAACGCAGCGAAAUGCGAUACUUGGUGUGAAUUGCAGAAUCCCGUGAACCAUCGAGUCUUUGAACGCAAGUUGCGCCCGAAGCCAUUAGGCCGAGGGCACGCCUGCCUGGGCGUCACACGUCGUUGCCCCCCCAUCUACUCCUUCGGGAUUGCGGGGGGCGGAUGAUGGCCUCCCGUGCGCCUCGCCGCGCGGUUGGCAUAAAUGCCAAGUCCUCGGCGACGCACGCCACGACAAUCGGUGGUUGCGAAACCUCGGUUGCCCGUCGUGUGCGGUCGUCGCGCAUCGAGGGCUCGAAAAAAUUGCCGGGUUCCGGCUCGGCUUUCAACGCGACCCCAGGUCAGGCGGGGUUACCCGCUGAAUUUAAGCAUAUCAAUAAGCGGAGGA